UUGUCCUACGGGACGCAGCAGUGGGGGAUAUUGCACAAUGGGGGAAACCCUGAUGCAGCAACGCCGCGUGAGUGAAGAAGUAUUUCGGUAUGUAAAGCUCUAUCAGCAGGGAAGAGAAUGACGGUACCUGACUAAGAAGCCCCGGCUAACUACGUGCCAGCAGCCGCGGUAAUACGUAGGGGGCGAGCGUUAUCCGGAUUUACUGGGUGUAAAGGGUGCGCAGGCGGAUUUUUAAGUCAGCGGUCAAAUCGUGGGGCUCAACCCCAUCCAGCCGUUGAAACUGGGGAUCUAUAGUGUGCGAGAGG
Molecule: ribosomal RNA, 305 nt
Filed under: uncultured bacterium
Lineage: Bacteria
Description: bacterial SSU rRNA
Rfam family: Bacterial small subunit ribosomal RNA
Source: RNAcentral